Molecule: ribosomal RNA, 1658 nt
Filed under: Salmonella enterica
Lineage: Bacteria; Pseudomonadati; Pseudomonadota; Gammaproteobacteria; Enterobacterales; Enterobacteriaceae
Description: partial 23S ribosomal RNA
Rfam family: Bacterial large subunit ribosomal RNA
Source: RNAcentral
GAAUGCUGACAUAAGUAACGAUAAAGCGGGUGAAAAGCCCGCUCGCCGGAAGACCAAGGGUUCCUGUCCAACGUUAAUCGGGGCAGGGUGAGUCGACCCCUAAGGCGAGGCCGAAAGGCGUAGUCGAUGGGAAACGGGUUAAUAUUCCCGUACUUGGUGUUACUGCGAAGGGGGGACGGAGAAGGCUAUGUUGGCCGGGCGACGGUUGUCCCGGUUUAAGCGUGUAGGUGUGUGUUCCAGGUAAAUCCGGUUCACUUUAACACUGAGGCGUGAUGACGAGGCACUACGGUGCUGAAGCAACAAAUGCCCUGCUUCCAGGAAAAGCCUCUAAGCAUCAGGUAACAUCAAAUCGUACCCCAAACCGACACAGGUGGUCAGGUAGAGAAUACCAAGGCGCUUGAGAGAACUCGGGUGAAGGAACUAGGCAAAAUGGUGCCGUAACUUCGGGAGAAGGCACGCUGACAUGUAGGUGAAGUGAUUUACUCAUGGAGCUGAAGUCAGUCGAAGAUACCAGCUGGCUGCAACUGUUUAUUAAAAACACAGCACUGUGCAAACACGAAAGUGGACGUAUACGGUGUGACGCCUGCCCGGUGCCGGAAGGUUAAUUGAUGGGGUCAGCGCAAGCGAAGCUCCUGAUCGAAGCCCCGGUAAACGGCGGCCGUAACUAUAACGGUCCUAAGGUAGCGAAAUUCCUUGUCGGGUAAGUUCCGACCUGCACGAAUGGCGUAAUGAUGGCCAGGCUGUCUCCACCCGAGACUCAGUGAAAUUGAACUCGCUGUGAAGAUGCAGUGUACCCGCGGCAAGACGGAAAGACCCCGUGAACCUUUACUAUAGCUUGACACUGAACAUUGAGCCUUGAUGUGUAGGAUAGGUGGGAGGCUUUGAAGUGUGGACGCCAGUCUGCAUGGAGCCGGCCUUGAAAUACCACCCUUUAAUGUUUGAUGUUCUAACGUGGACCCGUUACCCGGGUUGCGGACAGUGUCUGGUGGGUAGUUUGACUGGGGCGGUCUCCUCCUAAAGAGUAACGGAGGAGCACGAAGGUUGGCUAAUCCUGGUCGGACAUCAGGAGGUUAGUGCAAUGGCAUAAGCCAGCUUGACUGCGAGCGUGACGGCGCGAGCAGGUGCGAAAGCAGGUCAUAGUGAUCCGGUGGUUCUGAAUGGAAGGGCCAUCGCUCAACGGAUAAAAGGUACUCCGGGGAUAACAGGCUGAUACCGCCCAAGAGUUCAUAUCGACGGCGGUGUUUGGCACCUCGAUGUCGGCUCAUCACAUCCUGGGGCUGAAGUAGGUCCCAAGGGUAUGGCUGUUCGCCAUUUAAAGUGGUACGCGAGCUGGGUUUAGAACGUCGUGAGACAGUUCGGUCCCUAUCUGCCGUGGGCGCUGGAGAACUGAGGGGGGCUGCUCCUAGUACGAGAGGACCGGAGUGGACGCAUCACUGGUGUUCGGGUUGUCAUGCCAAUGGCACUGCCCGGUAGCUAAAUGCGGAAGAGAUAAGUGCUGAAAGCAUCUAAGCACGAAACUUGCCCCGAGAUGAGUUCUCCCUGAGACUUAGAGUCUCCUGAAGGAACGUUGAAGACGACGACGUUGAUAGGCCGGGUGUGUAAGCGCAGCGAUGCGUUGAGCUAACCGGUACUAAUGAACCGUGAGGCUUAACCUUACA